UUUCCGUAGGUGAACCUGCGGAAGGAUCAUUCAUAAUAAAGUGUUUUAUGGCACUUUUUAAAAAUCCAUAUCCACCUUGUGUGCAAUGUUAGAUCUCGUCAAUCUUGGCGAGAUUUUUAUACAUCAACUCAUUUUUUAACCAAUUUGUCUGAAAAAUAUUAUGAAUACUUAAUUCAAAAUACAACUUUCAACAACGGAUCUCUUGGCUCUC
This 211-nucleotide unclassified non-coding RNA is filed under the name plant metagenome. RNAcentral's name for it is "partial contains small subunit ribosomal RNA, internal transcribed spacer 1, and 5.8S ribosomal RNA". The record is from RNAcentral.